This 29-nucleotide non-coding RNA is filed under the name Mus musculus (house mouse). The record is from RNAcentral. Lineage: Eukaryota; Metazoa; Chordata; Mammalia; Rodentia; Muridae.
UUCCAAGCUGGGUGGCCUCUGGACUCUGA